RNAcentral lists this long non-coding RNA (23255 nucleotides) under Populus trichocarpa (black cottonwood). Its description in RNAcentral is "long non-coding RNA (PTRI_LNC000410)". Lineage: Eukaryota; Viridiplantae; Streptophyta; Magnoliopsida; Malpighiales; Salicaceae. The record is from RNAcentral.
UUUGCAUUGCCUGGUUUAACGAUUGCCUCUGGAUCUGCUUUGAACCACUCUCUUGCAAUUUGUAUUGCAUUAUUGUUUGUGUUAGCUGAAAUAGGACUACCUCCACCGGAAAAAAAGAGAGUAAAUUUCAAUUACCAAAGAUGAUUGGAACAUUCAUGUAAGGUUUAGCAAAUGGACUAGUGCCGUGGGACGCGCAUCAAAAGUCUAAGUCCAAACGAGUCAAAUGAGGUUUAGCUUAUUUUUGGAUUAUUAAGAUAUUAUUUAGAACUUUUCAAUUCCGAGUCUCUAUAGUAUAUGAGUGCAAUUAAGAUAUUAUUGGUAAGAGCCUGGGACCAAGAGGUUUGCUCUCUCUGUGGUCUCAGGUUCGAGCUCUGUGGUUGCUCAGAUGAUGGCCACUGAAGGCUUACAGGGUCGUUAACUUUAGGGCCCGUGGGAUUAGUCGAGGUGCGCGCAAACUGGUCCGGACACCCACGUUAAACUAAAAAAAAAAAAUGAGUGCAAUUAUAGUGCUUGAGAAACCCUAACUUUCAAUCUUCCAUUAUAAGUUGCAUUAAUUGGAAUUAGAGCGGGUUGACUUGUUUGAUGGAUAAAGGUGUUGGUAACAUAUUUCCACCUGAAGUGGAGGCCUUCUAGGAUGUUACGAGGGCUCGAGAGGCAACAUGGAAAGUACUGACACAUAAAUUUGAUUGGUUGGACAGGGGGAGGCCCAACAAGGGAAUGUGUUGAGGAGAGGGACGUGCCUAGAUAAUUACCUCAAGAAAGACCAAAGCCCGUAUUUAUUCCUACAAACUCAUAUAGGCAUCAUGUCAAUAAGAAAGUGGUAUUUUAUGAUAGAUGAUACAUUGAAGACUUAACUUGCAGCUAACCUUUUCAUAGAUGUAAAAAAAUCAAUAUUAUUUAAAAGAGGCCCUCUAAACUUUCAGUUUGUUUGUAAGAGUUGAAAGCAUAUUUUCAAUUGAAGAAGAUUCCUAGUUAUCAGAAAGGUAGGAUUUGAUCCCUUAAUUUUUAUAAAUUUUCAGUUUGUUCCCUCAAUGUUUAGAAAUUUUUAGUUUUCAAAUUGAUUUUUAUGAAUAAUUGAGGUUUAUUGACUUGUUUUGUUUUGAAUUAAAAUUUUAGAAACCGUUUGAUUUUUGGUUUUUUUUUGGAAAAAAAUUGUUUGGUUCCUAAAUAUAUAGAGUUAUGAGUUAGACCCUAGGAUGAACGUAUUAAAUUGACUUUAUGUUCCUUUCAAGUUUGUUUUGAGCAUGUCUUCUUUUGUAUUCAAAUAUUCCUGACAUUCCACAUAAGUAUAUUAAUAGAAUUUCUUUCAGCAUCUGCUUAUGUGUUUGUUUUGCUUUUGUGUUAAGCGAGUAGAUAAUAUUUUACAUGUAUGAGAAAUAAUAUAAACUAGCUAUGUGACCCGCGCUUCGCCGCGGGUCAAAUAUUUUUAUUUUUCAUAAAAAAAGAUAUAUGCAGGUUGUUUUCAACGUAUUUUUGUGGUCAAAAAAUGUAACAAAUCAAAAAGUUUAUGCACACAUGUAAUCAAAUAAACUAACAAUUAUGUAAGCUAAUAGAUAAAUAAAAAAUCAUUAAUGACACCUAAAAACAAAACCUGAAAAACUGAGAGACAGAUGUAGAUCAAUAUAUUUAAUCUUGAAAAAUAUGACAUGAAAUUGAUUGAAUAAUAAAAAAAAGAAUAACAUGUAAGGUUACACAUAUUAAAAAUAUUAUCUGAAAAUAAAUAUUUUGUAUUUUCAAAAACAUAGUUUAUCUAUAUAAAAGAUAAAAACAAAACCUUAGAUGAACAAGAAAACCUUUAUGAAAAUUAAACGCAUAAGAAAAAAAUCAAUAUUAUUUAAAAGAGGCCCUCUAAACAAAAUAAAAGAGAGGAGGUUUUUUCUAUUUUUUUAGUUUUUAGUUUUUUAAUCGGUCAUGCCAUUUUAUUUCUUUUCAAUUGCAUUCUUUAAAGUUAUAUUUUUAUGGCAACCAUGUCAGAUCCAAGGUGCUUGGCGCUUGGGUCUGGCAACCAUGCCAGCAACAGCGAUGCGUUGCCUGUUUUGCCUAAAUUCCGGUCAGUGUGGUGACUGAAAAAGCAGGGCCUAUGCUCUUAUGACCCAAAAACCUGUUUUGCAAUAUGUUUUUGACCCAAAACACCUAUAAAACACUAUAGAAAUCAUAAUAAACCCAUUCAUGACCUUUAAAAAAAAAAUCCAAAUAUCCGCCCUAAAACCAAAUUUAACCCAAAAUAAAAAAUUAACCCGAGUUCAAAUCUAUUUUUCACAAACUUUUAAGGUAUAAAACACCUAAUAUGACUCCCCUCAUCAAAUGGAACAAUUUGACACAAAAAUCCCUUAUUUUAGUGGUCUAAAUCGAUGCCAACGACAAGUUUCACUCUCUACCGCUAUAAUUCGACGACUCCCCUCUCCCUUCUCUCUCAACUAGAGACAAAAAAUUAACAAAAAUAAACUUCUGCAUCAAAAUAGAAUUCGAACAAUUUUGAGGGACCGAAAUUGUAUAAUCUGUUUAACUCUUUACCGCUAGAAUCCGACGACUCUCCUCUCGCUCCUCUCUCAACCAGGGAUAAAAAAUUAACAAAAAUAAACCUCUGCAUCAAAAUAGAAUUUGAACAAUUUUGAGGGACUGAAAUUGUAUAAUCUAUGUAAUUGUUUAAGUUGGAGGACCAAAGUGAAUGUUUCUGAAAUUUAUGGUACGUCACCCAUGUUUGCCCCGUGUUUCAUUUCGGUCCCUCCUCUUCGAAUCCUAUCAUUUUAUAAGAAUUUGAAAUCAAUUGCUCCUUAAAUAGGACUUGAUCGCCCAAAAACAAAGUUUGAUGACCAAACUGAAAAAAAAACAAAUUUUUGCAUAGUGACAAAUGUACAGUGAAAAUACACCGCGUUUUGCUUUAUUGCCCGUGUUACGUAACAUGCAUGAUGAAUUAUUUUUAGCAAAUAUAUAAACCAUUCAAACAUAAUAAAUUUCUAAAUAUUUUUGUCAUAUAAAGCUCCAAGUGCAUGUAAACAAAGCAAGCAAUAGCAAUAUUAUAAAACAUUUUUUAAUCCGAGAAUUAAUUGAGACACAACGUUGCAUGAAGGCCAAUCAAACAAAAGACAUAAUAUUUAACAAAAUGACCAUAGUGCAACAAAAAGGUUGCAUGGAGUUUGUUUCAACAAUUAUAGUCCUAGAGUAGGCAAAAAGUUAUAGCAACCAACAUGACAUUUAGCAAAAUGAUCAUUGUGCAGGAUGUUGUCUUCUUGAUCUCUCGCUGUUCCUGCAAUAAAAUGGAGGGUAGAAGAAGUGGGUAAGUAUCAUAUGAUUGAAUAUAUACAUGUAGGGUCAAGCAACAAAAUGGAUGAGAUAAUUAGUUAACAAAAUAAGAACGUGGAUAGAAAAUUAAGAGCAUCACCUUAGCAGGUAUAGAAGAAAUGGGUCGUUGUUUCUUAAAAACCGGUUCCGCUGGAUUGUUAUCUCCUAUGAAAUAAUUAUUUUCUGAAAUGUAUACACAAAAGCUACUCAUCUUUUUUUUUUUUUUUCGUUCAAACCAUUCUUUAACCCUGACACAUGAUCCUUUUGUCAAAUGAUAGCAGUUCUUUUCACUAUACCAUAGCAAAGUGAAAGAUAACAAAUCAAAUAACAACCAUAACAACUAGGAAAACCAACAAGCAAUGACCAAAAGAAUAGAAGGUUGGGAAAAUACAUCAACCAAUUUUAAAAAACACACGACAAACUAAAUUAACAAAAACCAAAUCCAGCAAAACUCAGAGAGAAACAAACAUGGAAAAUCAACGAAGACGAAAUGCAAUGUAACUAUGAAAGCAUGAAAACUGUGGCCAACACAAAGUAAAGGAUGCAAAAACAUGGCAACCCUCGAAACAACAAUACGAAAAUAGAAAAAGAAAGUCAAUCAAAUAGUACAUAAAGUGACAACACAACAAACACACAUUAACAAAAAAGAGCAAAUCAAGCAAGUUAACAAAACCAAACAGUAAGGAAAGGACAAACCUUUUAUAACUCACCAAGAGAGGAUAUAAAGGAUCCAAUACCCCUAUACAGAGGAUCCAAAACCCCCAGAUUAAAUGUCAACACCUCAAGAAAUCAUCUAAUCAGAUUCAGUCUGCUCCUCUAAAGACCAACUACCCAGCCUAGCAUCCACUGCAUUAAAUGUAAAAUCCUCAUCGCAAGCCACAUUUCUCUAAGCCUAGACUCACAACCAAUUGAACGCCAUCCUGGAAAUCAAACCCCACAACUAGAGCUCUUACAAACCGACAGAGCUGACAACGUGUCACGGAUGGAAACAGAGAAGAUAGGAACUAACAAGGGAAAAGAGGGAUGUAAUUCAAAUCAAGCAUAACGAUUAUGUUUUACGAAAGCAGGAUUUAAUUCAAACAUAGUUAAACGAUUGUGUUUCACACAACCCGGUUAAAGUCACAAAUAACAAGAUAGCCACGUGUUGAGGUCAGGCAUCUUGUAGAAGAGAAUAGAUGUUUUUGGGUUCUUUAAAUACCCUAAGAAUUAUAACAGAUGGUUAUGACAUUUUAUAUAAUAGAAAUCCAAUAUUCUCUCAUUCCUUUCUCUGACGUGUUCCUUGGAAAUCCAUGUAGAGUGCAUGAACACAACCUUCUUCUCUUCUUCCCAACUCUUUCCUUCUUCACCAUUAUACUCAGCAUACGCUAGUUAAUCUUACACGCAGCACAACACCCAGCCAACCUGAGCCAACACACACAAACUAACCAAAAUCAAACCUUGCCACAACCAAAUCAAAAGCACACAGAUAAGAAAAAAAAAACAAAAUGAAGGGCAAAGAAAGCUCACCUGACCAACCCCCAAACAAAAAGCAAGAGAAAUAGCUGCCAACACCCCUCUAUUCUAGCUGGACCAAGCUAGAUCUAGCCACCAUGAGGCCUGGGAGAACGAAACAAAACCAUGAGAAUAUAGCCAAGACCAAACCACCCCCAAGCCUUACACAUCAAUAGCCGCGAAGCCAAACCAACCAUGCCCACAACGGAGAGGGUCUAGGUCAAUAGUACAAAAAAGUUCUUUCCCCACACAGUAUACUCUUGCCACACAUAUCAUAAUUGAAAAAUUGGAAAACACUGUGGACCUGAACAGUUUUUUCCCUCACCACAUCAUGUCUUUCCUCGAGAAAGAGGAAAAACAUUGUGGACAUGCACAAUGUUUUUCCCCACCAUACAUAAGGAGAGAAUGGGAAAAACAUUGUGGACUAGUGCAAUGUUUUUCCCAUGCCAUUUAGAUUAUAAGGUAAUAUUUGAAGAGUUAACAUGAACUGGAUCAUGCUUCUUGAUAAUAUAUAUUGAUUAUUAGCCUUUGUUAUAAUAAAACAUGAUCAUUUGUUGAAUCUGAAUUUUGGAUAUGAGAUAUAUAUGUGUACGUUUGAUUUAAUAGCUCCUUAUUUGAUUGAUGUUAUGAGUUGAGCUUGGGAUAUCAUUCUAUUUGUUUGAUUGUGAUAUGAACCCUUGGUAUACCAGUCAUAAUACCAAUAUUUAUAGGGUAGUGUUAGUCUUUGUGCACAUCGUAUCUAAACCCUAGUUGGCCAGGGGAGUCACCAACCUAUGAUGACUAAUUAUCCCACAAUCUGAAGCAUCAUACUCAUUGUAUUUUGACGAGUCUUACGUUAUGACAUUUUUUGUUAUGACGUGUAUGCGAAACUCUUUUGUCAAAGCAUAAGCCAAACUUGUAUAUAUAUUCCCCAUUAAUGUAUUACCUUGUAUGUGUAUAUUGAACAUUAUCUACUCACUAAGUUAUUGAACUCAUUCUCUCGUCAUUUAUCAUUUUCAGGCAUAUAGCUUGGUGGUAGGUCACUUUUUUUGAACUUCAGAACCUGAAUUUUGUUGUUGUUGUUGUUGUUGUUGUUGUUGUUGUUGUAAUUAACAUUAUCCAGUUAUAUCUAGUUAGUGCUCCACAAUUAUAGAAUUUGUAUUAACUUUUGUAUUAUGACGAUCAAUUUAUAUUAUUAAGAUAGUUUUAUUAUUAAUGUUGCAAAGAAAUUUGUUUUGUUUAUAUAGGUGAAAAAGUUUGUAUGUUUGUCUAGGUUCGUAUUGGUAAAGAAAUUUUGAGGGAGUCCUUAUUUAUGUGCCGGUCAUGAAUCCGGGAAUCGAGUCGCGACAAGUUGAGCCAUUAAUAAAAUAGUUUUAUAACUUAUUUUUAGAUUAUUAAGAGAUUAUCCAGCUUGAUUAUUUAAAAGUUUUUUUUUUUGGUAAUUUUUAAGGUUUGAAAAACCCCAUCUUUUUAUCUUUUACUAUACUUUGCGUCAAUAAAGAAAGCCGAGUUUGGGAAGAAUAAUCAAGCGACCAUAGACCGUUGAUCUUAGGCAUGUUAUAUGGCCAUGCCACCAAAAAGUGCCUGUUUGUCCUGCAAUGGUGCAGUUAUAUACAUAGUUCUGUCCACAAUCCACCGGCUUCGAAGCUGCCGAAUUCCAUGUAUCAGUGAAAACAUACAUAGAAAUUUAGAAUUUGCCUUCUCAAAAACAGGUUGACUAUUUGGUGAAAUUGUAAAAAAAGUCCGUAUAUUUGUACCAGUGGAUAAAGAUAUUGUUUUGGACAAGGUUAGCCACUUUAAUAAGAAGACGAUCACAAACCCUCCCCCCUCCCCAGCUACAAUGCCAGGCCCUGGGAGAUUGACUGCUACUAUGCUCAGGUGGGACAAAGGCAUGUCACAUUUUAAACAUAACCUGCAAAAUUUUAUUUUCUUUAGACUGUUAAAAAUAACCUGCAUCUUGAUAGCUGAUAUACUAAAUUGUCAAUAGCGUCAGAAACAAAUAUAGAAAACAUUUUUUUUUUUUCCUUUGAAGUUCAAAUUUGAUGUGUGUGACAAUAUUAGCUUGAUAAUUUUAGGUGCCAAAGCUGAAGGACAUAACGUAUCAUUAAGCUUGUAGUGCCUGAUAAUGGCAAGUGUAGGCUUAGGAUGGAGGCACAAACUACAAAUGAUUAAAAAAAAACCCUGCCAAAAUGCUGGUGAUGAUGGAAGAAGAGAGACCCACAAUUUUUUUUUUCUGUUUUUUCUUUCUGGCCAGGUGCACCAAUUUGUGAAUUUUGAAUUGUUGUUUUUAUACUCAAAGGUACUGUUAUGAGCAGUAUAUAUAGAGUGUUGAAAGAAAAAUAUUGGUUGAUUAGGCGAUAGACAUUGUAUAUUUUAAAAUGACAAAACUAAAACAGGCUUCAAGAAUCAUGUGUCCUUGUACAUAUUUUCAGUUUAUUAACAUCCUCAAUUCUAAAUCCUUCCAUGCAUUUCUUGUCUUUGGCUAAACAGACUUCCAUUUACAGCAAGAGAAAUGGAGCGUUGAAUUUAGCAAACCGUAUCGGCAUGGAUGCCUGGUAGGUCAGACUUCCCUUAAUGCUUGGCGAUAAAGCUAACAAGUAACCAAAGGCUGCUAUCAAACAAGUCAUUUCAGUGUUAGAUGUGCUAUGGUUUUUCUGUUGUUUUUGUUCUUUUUCUGUGUCAAAGAAGUCAUUGUUGAUUCGCGGGGGAUCAAAUAUUUUGUUUCUCAUUAAAUCUCACAAAUCCAUAGCCAUGGCCACUUCUGUUGGGGUUCUUAUUAAUGAAGGCAUCAGCCAGACCGCUGUACGAAGAAAAAUCAUACCAUAAGUCAAGAGGCUGGACAUCCUAUGGGAAGUUAUCAACAAAGAAGGAUAGGAUUUGAGAGGGAGACAUGGGAGCAAAGAGGCAGAGAUGGAUUGACCAGAGGAAUAGGUUAAGGUUGGCUAAAAAGAGUAGGGAGUGGUGGAGGAUUGUAAAUGAUGGGGGAGCAUAAGACUAGAGAAAGAAAGCUGUCAUUGAGGCACUAAAGGGUAAACACUUUAAUAGGGAUUUGGAUUGGAGAAACAAAAGGGAUCUGAUGCAUGUAGGCUUGUAGCUUUGGAGUGGUGGCCUCGGAAGAAAGGCAAACGAUCCCAGAUAUAAAAAUUGUGAUAUCUGGAGUUCUUGUAGUGUUAGCUCAAUCCUUUGUUUUAAAAAAAACGAAAAGAAUAGCGAAAUGUUUACUUGCAUUAAAAAGAAACAGAUACGUUCGUUUCCUUUCCUCAACUCAAACAGGGUAAUCAGAAUAAUUUCAGAGCUUUAAUGCUCAGAAAUGGGCAAGGAAAUAAACUGGCUGGUUACCAAAAAAAAAAGUCAUCAAGGAUUUUCUGGUCUCAAUGUAGUUAAGAAGUAGCCAAAAGCCUUGAAUUUCAACACUUAGGAAGAUCAACUGGUGGAGGAAGCAGCCUGUGAUUCGGAAGCUUUCCAUCCAAGACAACCCAAGCCAUCAUCAAACCCCAGCUCAUGUGCAAUUCUACAUGACAAUGCAGGAACCAUACACCUGAUGACAGCCAUCAUCCACAUCGAACAAGUCAGGAAACCAUGGUAUUACUACAUGAAUUUAAUUAUCUAAGCUAGGAUAUUACUUAGCAUUAUAUACUUUUAAUUAAUUACCAACCUGGAUUGUCUGCUAAAAACCGUAUAGCAACCCAGCCUCCAGAGGGCACUCCCACAGUAUUCCUUUCAACGGGGUCGACAAGAUUGAAAUUUGCAGGAUCCUUUUUUGGAUCAAAGUUCCCAAAACCUUGACCAACAACAAAGAAAUUGAAACCAUGCAAAUGAAGAGGGUGGCUCUCAGCACCAAGGAUGCUGGUGUCCUGCAUAAUGAGCUCCACGCUGGUGUUAAAAGGAAGCAUAACUAGCUUUGUUCCAUGGCUCACCAUAGUAUUGUUUUGUGGGGUGCCGGUAUAAUCAAAAGGGAUUAGUGGACUGAUUGGAAAGUUAGGACUGUAAACGCCCUUUGAUUGACCAAAAUGAUGGGCUUCGAGUAAAGCUUUGGUCGGCAUUACAAAUGAUACAUUAUUAACUGAAGCUGCAAACCUUGUUCCAUUUGGUCCCUGGCAGGUUUGGUUUUUAGAGCACGGAUUUGUUCCGAGGCCUACGGUGAAGAAAAAAUGUCUGUCGACCUUUUGCGGCACAUUGGCUGGGAAUUCUGCGCUUGCUAGGCUGCGGAGUUUGCUAGUGAAAUUUGUAGCGAAUGAAGUGUCAUUUAGAGGUGGUAGAUUUGGUUUAUAGAGCGGCAGUCUCUUAGAGGUGUGGCUUGAUUGAAUUGUUUUGCGUGCAACUUCAUAUUCUAAGAUUCCAGCAACAGUUGAAUUAUCAAAAGUUCCUUGACCAGUCACGUAAGGUCUAGCAGACAUGAAAAAUUUGGCGUCUGGGUGGUGGGGCUUGGUCUUUAGAAGAACAUCUGUGGUUUGUCCUGAGGCAAUCAGAAGUGUCUCGGUAUCAAAUGGUUUCACAUAAAUAGCAUCAACACCAACAACUGUGAGUGUAUGGUUUGCUAUGCUGAAGAAGAGCUCCUCAUUGAGUGCGGCAUUGAUCAAGCGAAGAAGGUAAGUCUUUCCUGGCUUUACCUUCAGCUUGAAAGUAUCUGUCAAGCACCAUGCACACAAGGUCAAUGAGAGAAAAAAAAAAAUGCUCUGUAUUGUUGUAGAAGGCCUGCUGCGCUAACAUAUUAUACUUUUGGCAGAGCAGUUAUACAAUGGCCCUGGGAGUCCAUUGAUAGUGUAGGCAUCAGAGACAUUUGGGCCUCCACCCGUUUGCAUUGCCUGGUUAAUGAUUGCCUCUGGAUCUGCAUUGAACCACUCUCCUGCAAUUUAUUUUGCAUUAUCGUUUGUGUUAGCAGACAUAGGACUUCAUCAACAGGGAAAACAAAUGAUCGGAACUUCCUUACUGUAGAUUACCAAAGAUGAUCGGAACUUCCUUGUCAGGUUUAGCAAAUGGAUAAGGAGUGCCGAGUUUGGGAAGAAUGAUAAGUGGACCGUAGAGAGUUGAUCUUAACCAUGAUAUAUGGGCAUGCCACCAAAGAGUGCCUCUUUGUCCUACGAUGGUGUAGUUGUACACAUAGCUCUGUCCAGUUUGUAUAGGGCACUGAGUUACGUAUGCCGGUCCAUCAGCCCACCCACUUCGAAGCUGCCGAAUUCCAUGCCUGUAUCAAUGAAAUCGUCGACAGAGAUUUAGACCCAGCUUUUCGAUACAAGGCUCACUAAAUUUAGAGAAAAUUGAAGGAGGUCAGUCAAUAUAUAUGUACCAGUGAAUAGAGAUAUUGUUUUGGACAUGGUUAACCACUUUAAUAAGAAGACGAUCACCCUCCCUAGCAACAAUACAAGGCCCAGGGAACUUGGCAUUGACUGUUACCAUGCUCUUGGUGUGGCAAAGGCGUGUCACAUUUUGUAACAGAACCUGCAAAAUUUCAUUUUCUAUAGACCGUUAAAAACGAGGUUAAAAAAGAAGAAGAAGAAGAAGAAGAAGAAGAAGAAGAAGAGAGAAAAUUUGAACAAUUUUAUGUACUUUCGACAAAGUCAUGUAUGUAACACAUACAUCAAAUUUGUAGUGCCUGGUAAUGGCAAUUGCAGGCCGAGGAUGGACAAACAAAGUGACAAAAGAGGAGAGAAAAACCGCCAGAGAUGCUGGUGAUGGAAGAAGAUAGACACCCAUUUUUCUUGUCUGUUUUUACUUUCCAACAAGGCUAGAUGAUGCACCAAUUUGUAAUCCAUGAAAUGCUGUUUUUAGCUAUAUGUUCAUCGAAUCUUAGAGAGUAGCAUAUAUCAUUAAGGAAUCAGAUUGUGAUGUUUAAUGGCAAAUCCACACUUGCCGUUAGCUAUUAAAUUCAUACUUAAUGACAUUUAUUUCUAGAAUCUCCAAUCUUGCUGCGAAGAUGGCAACCUAGCUACUCCUUGAAUUAAAUUUACCAAUAAUACUUCUUAUACUCCUGUACAAUGAAUGUCUAAGUAUUAUUUUGAUUGAGAAAAUUUUAAUUUUUGCAAUAAUGUUUUAUUAUCUAGUUUUUAUGUGAAAGUCUUAUUAAUUAAAAUCCUUGAUCUCAUUUGGUUAAACAUGCUUCGCUACAAUCUAACAAGUAAUGUUGCAAUCAGAAAUAAAAGGAUAAACGAGAUUUAUUAUAAUUUAAAUUAUUCAAAGACUAAAAAUACUGUAAUUAUAGAGAGACAUAAAAGAUAUUUAAUUUUUAUUUAUUAAAGUCUUCUUUACCUUUGUAUAAUUAUGAAAAAUCUCUGCUUGCAAGUGAAAGGCAAGUUAUUACUUGGAAGUUUAUGAAAAUAUAAAUGUCAGGAUUGAGUGUUGUGUUAGAGAAUAAUAUAGAUCAUAACUUGAAAUCUCACUUAACAGCUUAUGCUUUUGGGUUGAAUUAAUUCUUUGAUAUGAUAUCAAAGCCUUGAUGAUCAAGCGUUCACGAGUUUGAAUCUCACCAUCCCUAUUUAUUUGAUAAAAAAAUAAGCAUAAGGUGGUAUAAGUUUAUGCAAGUUUUAAGCCCAAAGGGCUUUCACUUGAGAGAGUGUGUUAAAAAAUAAUAUAAAUUAUAUCUUGAGACCUCAUCUAAUAGCUUAAGUUUUCGAGUUGAAUUGGUUCUUUGACAUGUUGAAUAUGAUUUUAUUGAUUUUGAAUUUUAUUUACAAAUUUUCCUUUCAAGGGAAACUGGAUCUUAUUUGUUUAUAAAGUAUAGUUGUUUCAAGGAAAUGUUUGAUUGUUUCUAGUAAAUAGUUUUGAUGCAUGAGAUUAUAGGAUUCUUAUAUAUUAGCUGGUUGUGUUUUUCUCAUGAGGAAUGAGUUGAUGCAUGCCUCUUGAAUUCAUUUAUUUGUUAAAUUUGGAAGAUAACAUCAUUUUGUUGAUAGGAGGAGGGGAGGAUUGUUCAAUGAGAGGAUUGUUCAAUGAGUCUAGGGUACUUGCUUAAGGAACAUGCAUCACCAAUCUUAACAAACCAAGAUCAUGAUUUAUGGUCUAGGAGAUAAAUGAACAACCUAAAAUAAUCUUUAUAGUUGCUUAAAACUUGUUUAAAAUAACUUUUACAUAUGAUUGGAUUAUAAAAUUGUAAAAUUGCACACUCUUAAAAGUACCCCUUAUAAAUAUAAUACAAAAAAUUGUAUUAUUUUAUAUCACUAUUUAGAAAAAUAUUAAUAUUAAUACUAGAUUUAUAAGAAUUUGCUUUAAAAAAAAAAACAGAUCCUAAUACAUUACCUUUAUGAAUGAUAUAAUUGAUCAUAAACUACAUUAAGAAAGGGUUUGAAAUUUUCAAACUAUGAUGCUAUAUAUAUAUAUAUAUAUAUAUAUACACUUCCUGUUUACUAUUUAAUCUGUUAUCUGGUAUCAGAGCCUAUUGGGAUCUGGGUGGGAAUAGUAACAUAAAAGCCAGUAUUCUUAGAAAGAACAAGAGACCAUUAGACUAUAGGUAUGCAACUGAAUGGUGUAAGUCCCGUUUGAGUUUUAGGGCAAUAAAUCCAUAUAACCUGCAGCCUGUUUCCUAGUUUAUCUUUCCUUUCUAUGGAUUCCGUCUUUCACAGGACUACUUCUCUUUCGGCUUCCUCUACCUCUGAAUCUUCUGAAAGCAGAAGAAUAGUACAAAGUGAAGAGAUAACUAUUGAAGACUUUACAAAAAACAUUGAUGACUGGAAAAUUCCAAAAAUUUCCCAAACUCAGAUUUAUCAAAAAUCUAAAUAUGAUAUUUUCAAAACAGAUUUUACUAUCAAAACUGAAGAGCGAGAUAUUCAGCUUACCAAACCUUUUGAAACCAUUCAACUCCUCUCUCAAAAAUCCUUACAAAAACAUCUAGCCCGAAACUAUAAAUAUAUUCAUGUUGGCCUUGUCCAGGUUGGAAUAAAACCCCUUACAAAAGAAGGCUUAAACACCUCCAUUCUAGCUGUCCUCCGUGAUGCUAGAUUUCAAAACUUCCAAGACUCCCUCCUCAGUUCUAUUGAGUCUAGCCUUUGCAGUGGGCCGGUAUCAUUUGACUGUUAUCCAAACAUAACCAUAUCCCUCAAAGACAAAAAUAUCUUGCAAAGUAUGCUACUUCAAAUAAAGACCCACAACUAUGACAUGCUCGAAGGAUCUAUCCCUGUUGCUCUCAUAUUCAAAAUCCAUUACAAAGCCAUGUUCUCAGCCUUUGCCAGCAAACAUAAAUUCCAAUCUAAAAAAGGCGAAACACUCCUACUACAAACAGAUUUAUCCCGCUCAAACACUGUUGUCCCAAAAGCAAUCCAAUGGAAAGACAUAUCCCUACCAGAAGAUUGGAUCCUUGAAGGUGCAGCACCACCAGAACUACCACCACCACCUCAACCCAAUGUCCAAAUUAAAAACAUUACCCAAUAUACAGAUGGAAAAGUCAAACUGUCUUUCCACCGACACUCUACAAGUUCCAGAUUCUCAGAAGCCUCUUCCUCUUCCAGUACAAUAGAUUUGGGAAGAAUUUCCAAAAUCCCUUCUGUUAUCAAUAUCCCUUAUCACGAAAACCUUCCAAGAAAAUCUACAUCCGAUAUCCCUUCUCCUAGUUUCCAAAAUGCAGACUAUACUACAAGUAUACCAAAACCUGUCUAUACAAACCUUGAGCAACCAUCUCCUCCAACUUCACCGACCUUUUCAGCUAUUACUGAAAAUAUCCAAAACGAGCUGAAUGUUUUGACUUCAGAGAAACAUUUCGUCCUUGACAAAACACUUUUCAAAAAGGAUUUCUAUUCGGCCUGUAACUCUACAAAACGAAUUUGGUUUUUUCAAAACUUUCUCGAACAUAGAAGUGAAAUACAAAAACAAUUUUAUAAUUUCAUUGAGCUACAUAAAAUACAAAUUCUAUUCUUUGAUUGGUUCGAAUUAUAUUAUGCAUCUGAACAUCACAUUUCAUAUCCUUUUGCAUCCAUUAAGCAUGCAUGCUCGGUCACAUCAAGGUCAAAAACCCCAGUAUGGAACCUCACCAGUGGACCUACAGUUGAGUCUGAACAUCCACCUUUGAGAAAUAUCCAAAUAACCCAUAAUAACCAGACUGUCGAGGCAGCCCCUUACAAAUUAUCCACUGAUGACACCCUUUCCAAUACAAAACACAUCAUUAACCAAAACAACUUUACAAACACCAACCUUAAUACCUUGGGAAAGCAGCUUACAUGGCUUGAGAAACAAAUACAAAGAACUGCUACAAGUUCAACUGGCAUUAAAACCUCAACCGACUUAAAGCUAAAAAACCCAGUCUUCAAACCCUACCAAAUUACAAAAACCAGCCAAACACAGAUCCAAGAUAACCAAACAGAUUUUCUUAAAUAAGAAUAGUUGGUUCAGUAGUUAUGGAAAUAUCUGGGGCAAUGGUUGUUUUGGGAGUUUGCCAAGUAAGUCUGUUUAGGGUAAGAGGUUUUUGUGGAGAAGUACCUUCAUCAGAAGAUUCCUGAGGACUAUUCUGUAACGUGUUGACUUGAUUUGUAGAGGUAGAAGGGUUGGUUGUUUGUGGUGUGUCGGGGACAGUUAAAGAUGAACUGUCAAGGUGUUGUAGAUGCAUUUUAAUAGCUUUAAGAAAAUCUGUUUGGUUAUCUUGGAUCUGUGUUUGGCUGGUUUUUGUAAUUUGGUAGGGUUUGAAGACUGGGUUUUUUAGCUUUAAGUCGGUUGAGGUUUUAAUGCCAGUUGAACUUGUAGCAGUUCUUUGUAUUUGUUUCUCAAGCCGUGUAAGCUGCUUUCCCAAGGUAUUAAGGUUGAUGUUUGUAAAAUUGUUUUGGUUAAUGAUGUGUUUUGUAUUGGAAAGGGUGUCAUCAGUGGAUAAUUUGUAAGGGGCUGCCUCGACAGUCUGGUUAUUAUGGGUUAUUUGGAUAUUUCUCAAAGGUGGAUGUUCAGACUCAACUGUAGGUCCACUGGUGAGGUUCCAUACUGGGGUUUUUGACCUUGAUGUGACCGAGCAUGCAUGCUUAAUGGAUGCAAAAGGAUAUGAAAUGUGAUGUUCAGAUGCAUAAUAUAAUUCGAACCAAUCAAAGAAUAGAAUUUGUAUUUUAUGUAGCUCAAUGAAAUUAUAAAAUUGUUUUUGUAUUUCACUUCUAUGUUCGAGAAAGUUUUGAAAAAACCAAAUUCGUUUUGUAGAGUUACAGGCCGAAUAGAAAUCCUUUUUGAAAAGUGUUUUGUCAAGGACAAAAUGUUUCUCUGAAGUCAAAACAUUCAGCUCGUUUUGGAUAUUUUCAGUAAUAGCUGAAAAGGUCAGUGAAGUUGGAGGAGAUGGUUGCUCAAGGUUUGUAUAGACAGGUUUUGGUAUACUUGUAGUAUAGUCCAAACACCUUGACAGUUCAUGGUUAGCUAAAAUGCAUCGAAAUAUGCAUCUGAACAUAUUUUUUAUACAAUCAUAAUUUUGAAAAAUUACUCUACUAUUAAAAAGGAAAUCCUUUCAAUUGUUCUUUGUAUUACAAAAUUUCAAAGUGACUUAUUAAAUCAAAAAUUUCUCUUACGUGUUGACUGCAAAUCCGCAAAAGAAGUUCUCCAAAAAGAUGUCCAAAAUCUUGCUUCCAAACAAAUCUUUGCCAGAUGGCAAGCCAUUUUAAGUAUUUUUGAUUUUGAUAUUGUUUACAUUAAAGGAGAAUCAAAUUGCAUCCCUGAUUUCCUAACCCGAGAAUUCCUUCAAAACAGGUCCUGAUGCCUCCUAAAGCAAAAGCCAAGGACAAGGGAAAAGCCCCUCAAACACAGCCUACAAAACCAGAGAGCCCCAAGCCUUCUACAAAACUCAUGUCUUCAGCCAUCCUCGCUGCCAAGCCUAUCAAAUCUUGGUAUGAGGCAGUUAUUGAAGAUGAAGACACUACAAAACCACCACAAGUACAAACAGAUGCAGUUCAACAUUGGGUUGACACUAUAUCCAAAUCGCCAGAAUUACUCCUGGCAUUGCAAAAAGUAUCUCAACAAGCCUCCACUGACUCCGUGUCUCCAACAGGUAGUAUUUCCAAAUCACUUUCAAAACCCCAAGGAGGCAUUUUAUCUUCAAAACCCCUCCUUUCCUUACAACAAACAAGUUUUCCAAAAACCAAAUCCAAAUAUAUUUUCAAAAAUGCUUUCCAAAACAUUUUAACUAUGGAAGAAGGAUUUUACCAUGAAAACCCUUCCAUUGCUGCUUCAAAAAUUUUCCCUCCAAAAUGGCACUAUAAACCUUGGAAUCUAGCUCAACCACAAUCCUAUUAUGCAACUAUCCUUGAAAUUACCGAUUUCAGGUCUUUUUAAGGCUCAUCUGUUUAGAGCCCAUUUCUUUUAGACUCAGAUGUUUUGAGCCUUUUAUUUUUCGGCCUAUCUAUUUUAAGGCCUUUUCUACAAAAGUUACCGGUUACUACAAACCCACCAAUCAAGUGUCGGUGGCAAGACGACAACAAACGAAGCUCAACCAAAAACGUGGACAAUUUCCAUUCUGUCGCCAUCCAAUCAAGGCAGACAGCACCACAUGGGCUCCUAUAGGUUCUGCCAAAGGCCACAUGGGUUCACAUGGGUCCUGAAGAGCUUCCCCAACAGGACAAUUUGGCCUCUUCCAUGCCAACUCGCCUAUAAAAGGCCACUUCAAAACCCUGAGAGGGCGGACUAAUCUUUCCCCUAGAAAACUUUACUCUCCCCUAAAAAUUUGUAACCCAUUCUCCUCUGUAACCAAUAUCUCCUGUCUUAAUUUUGUUACAAAUUUAAAGUAAGAUAAUCUUAUCUACGUUUUUUGUUAUAUCUGUUGGCCAUGGUCAUUUGUUGGAGAGUGUUUAGGAUAUUAUAUUCGGACAUUCCAUCUAUAUUCCAUUCAUAGAGGGAGGAGGCAUUAUACUUGUGUUGAGUAAGAAUAGUUGGUUCAGUAGUUAUGGAAAUAUCUGGGGCAAUGGUUGUUUUGGGAGUUUGCCAAGUAAGUCUGUUUAGGGUAAGAGGUUUUUGUGGAGAAGUACCUUCAUCAGAAGAUUCCUGAGGACUAUUCUGUAACGUGUUGACUUGAUUUGUAGAGGUAGAAGGGUUGGUUGUUUGUGGUGUGUCGGGGACAGUUAAAGAUGAACUGUCAAGGUGUUGUAGAUGCAUUUUAAUAGCUUUAAGAAAAUCUGUUUGGUUAUCUUGGAUUUGUGUUUGGCUGGUUUUUGUAAUUUGGUAGGGUUUGAAGACUGGGUUUUUUAGCUUUAAGUCGGUUGAGGUUUUAAUGCCAGUUGAACUUGUAGCAGUUCUUUGUAUUUGUUUCUCAAGCCGUGUAAGCUGCUUUCCCAAGGUAUUAAGGUUGGUGUUUGAAAAUAUUAUGCAUCUGAACAUCACAUUUCAUAUCCUUUUGCAUCCAUUAAGCAUGCAUGCCCGGUCACAUCAAGGUCAAAAACCCCAGUAUGGAACCUCACCAGUGGACCUACAGUUGAGUCUGAACAUCCACCUUUGAGAAAUAUCCAAAUAACCCAUAAUAACCAGACUGUCGAGGCAGCCCCUUACAAAUUAUCCACUGAUGACACCCUUUCCAAUACAAAACAGAAUUAUUGUUUACAUUAAAGGAGUAUAUAUAUAUAUAUAUAUAUAUAUAUAUAUAUAUAUAUAUAUAUAUAUAUAUAUAUAUAUAUAUAUAUAUAUAUAUAUAUUGAUAUAUAUAUAUAUAUAUAUAUAUAUUCUUUUUGGCUUUCAAUAAUUGCUACAAAGGUGAGUUAUCACAAACCACAAGAUAUCCAUGUGUUCACUCUCUAACGGUAAUCUACACGAACCAUCAAUGAGAAAUCUCCUAAAUUCUUUUAGAAUAGAGGAAUUUCUAUACCUUUGAGUGUUAACUCUUUUCUUUUGUGUUUAGAUAUUUUUGUAUUGCACUGUCUUGUAUAAAAAAUAAGUAGUAUAACAUUCUAUUUAUAGGGAAACCUAAAAACCCUAUAAAUAAAAAAAUAUCAAUUCACACUUUAAAUAAUAUCACAUAUAUUAUUUUAGAAUAAUUUUAGAAAUUUAUUCAAUCAAGUCCCUAUUCGAUUUUUUUUCUAAGUCUAGAAUUGUAAUCUCUUAUAUUCAUUACAUUAUAGUACUUAAUUUCUAAAACAUAAUUACAAUCAAGUCACACUUGAUUAAUCAUUCCAUUUUAAUUUCUGACUAAUAAUUCUUUUAUGUGUGAGUCAAUACGUUCCCUAAUAAGAUAACCCAAAUAUAAAUUAUAAUCCUAAAUAAAUAGGAUUAAAUAAAUUAAACAAUUUAAUUUAUUAUCAGUUCAACAAUUGAUUGAUUUAUAUUUGAAGAUCAAAUAAAUAUAAUGUCUAGCAACCUUUCAUGAUCCUCUAAGUAUUUAGAAAGUCAUAAGUGAUUCGACUUAAUCUUUUAUUGACCAGUUUCUCAAUGUAAUUAUUAUCAUUUAUCAAUAAUGUUUUAAUUUAAACAUUAUAGCAUGGAGUAUGUCAAGGUAGUGACUCCCUGAUCUUGACAUCCCGUUACGCUACGCGCCCACAUGCGACUCACUCAUUCCACUAGUUUACCAAGUUUUAUUGCUAAAAAGGAUAUAGGAUACACUCAUGGAGAUCAGUUAUUUCUUUAGAGAUAUAUGCUCCAACAAGUUGCAGAUAUAACACAUGGAGAUGCUUGAAAUGAAUAUAGUCUAGACAAUUUACAAACUUGAAAUGAUAUUCCUUGCAUCUUUCUUUGACUCAAUAGAGCAUCUACUCAUACAUCUACCGUUUAAGGCAAAAGUUGAAGACCCAGUCCAUAUAGAUAGAUGUAUCCAUUCGAGAAGUUAAUGAUUACACAUACAUCAUAAUUAAAAUUCUAUUGUUUUUUUAUUAAUUCAAAAUAUUCAUUUAAUUUCAUGCAUGUACUUGUUCAGCCUUAAGAGAAAAGUAAAAAAAUAAGGCGUAUGUUGAGGCUUCGAUAUAUGAAGCUUAUAUUGUUAAAGAGAUCUCAACAUUUAUCUCGUACUAUUUCGAGCCGUACUUGAGAACAAGAAUCAAUUGUGUUUCAAUACAUGACGACGAUGGGGAAGUGACUUCAAAUGGAAACUUGUCUAUACUUUUCUAUCUUGGACGACCCGUACCAAAACAUGUUGUGAGGAGAACAUAUUUAACAGAAAUAGAAUUCAAACAAGCACAUAAUUAUGUGCUAUUUAACUCCAAAAAAAUUUCACAUGGUUUAGAACAUUUGUAAAAACUGUUUAAUUAUUCUUAUAUCUCGAGAUAUUUAAUUUCAUUACACAUUUCUCAUUAACUAUGAUGGAGAUGUAAUUUAUGUACCAGGUUUAUCAAUUGAGAAGGAAUGCUAAUGUUACUUUGAAUUUACUAAGUCUGGAUCCUGAAAGAAAGGUGAAGUGCUAUAACAGGUAUUUCAUCAAUAGACAUAUGUUUCAUACUGAAGAGUAUAGUCAGAGUAGAAAGACAUGUAACAGUGGGAUCUGUGUUAAAGGAUCAACUUUUAAGAGUUUGAAGUUGACUAUUAUGGAAACUUAGAAGAGGUCAUUGAAUUGCAAUAUAAUAGCGAGCAAAAUACAGUCUUUUUAUUCAAAUGUUAUUGGUAUGAUACUACUAACAAAAAAAUCAAAUUAAAUCUCCAUCAUGGUUUGGUCGAAAUUAAUACAAAGGCUAGACUCUGCAGCGUCAAGGAUAUCUUUGUUUUUGCCAAGCAAUGCCAGCAAAUUUAUUACACAUUCACUCCAUUUAAAAAUGAUUGUUCAAGAGUUGAUUGGUUAUCUGUAGUGAAAAUCAAACCCAAAAAUCAUGUCCAGGUUGUUCAGAAUGACAACUAUGAAUUAACUGUGGGAGAUGAUGUUUUUCAACUUGAUAAGUUAGUUGAUCCAUAUCGAGUUGCUCCAUCUAAUGACUUAGAAGAAAAAUCAAAUUUUCGCAUCGCCGCGAGAAUACUUUGGUUAAUGUUGACAUUGGGGAUUUAAAUGGUGUUUUGAGAACUAACGGACAUAUAGAAGUUGAUGGAGAUGAUGAUAGUGAUGAAAUCAACGUAGAAGAUUGCAAUGGAGAUGACUUAGUCCGUUGUUAUAUUCCAGAGAGUUGGAAAAAAAUUACUGCAAAUGCUAUUGAUUUUCUGUUUUUGUUUAGUAGAUUUUUUUUUAAAUCUAAAUUAUUCCUGAUGGGGUUACCUAAAAUCUAAGUUCAUCGGUAUAUUCCAAAGAGUUUGAAAAGAGUUAUUACAAAUGUCAUUGCCACUGUUUACUCACCAACGGAAUAACAAACAGUUUGUUUGACAAUUAUAUGUUAAAUUCAACGAGUGAAAUACUGACGGACCAAAACAGAACCACCGAUGAAAUGACAUACGGUUUUUCUGUCGGUGAUAUAUUAUAUUCAACAAUGGAAAUACUGAUGGAAUGAAGCGGGUAAAAAAAAAAUUAGCAUUGUUUUUCCAUCAGUAAAUCCAUCGGUAAAAUUAUUACUGACAGACCUCAAAUCACUUAUGAGAGUUUUUUCAACAAAUUAUUUCUAUCCGUGAGCCUGUUUUCUAAGUAGAAGUAUGGACAAAAAAAUCUGUCAAUAAAUCUAAAAAUUUUAGUUGUGUUUGGAUGUCUUAUUCUUAUAAUAAUUCUACAAUUUUUUUUAUUGCUUUCGUUUAUUGUCUAAUUAUUAGUUCUGAAUAUUUCACUUUACACUAAACAAUUGCAAUUUUUACGAACAAUUCCAACCUCCUCUAGCAGCGUACUCAAGGAGGACAAUAGCUGCAUAGCAUGGCUUGACAAGCAAACUCGUAAAUCAGUUAUCUAUGUAAGCGUGGGAAGCGUACUUUUCAUGCAGGAGAAAGAACUAGUAGAAAUGGUUUGGGGCCUAGCCAGCAGCAAGCAGCCUUUCUUGUGGGUGCUUAGGACUGACUUUCCUGAUGGUAUAAGGAGAAAAAAAAAAAACACUGUAUGGGAUAGAGAUUGCAAUGUGAAACGAACAGCACAAAUGGAAGUGUUAGCACACGCUGCAGUUGGAGGGUUUUGGAAUCAUGGUGGCUGGAAUCCCACAAUGAAAAGUUAAUCCGAAGGAGUUCCAGCGAUAUGCAAAACUAACAUACUUUGGGGAUCAAAGGGUGGAUGCAAGAUAUGUGAGUCAUGUAUGGAAAGUAGGCUUUUGAGUUUGAGCCUGAAAUGGAGAGGGGGAAGAUUGAAGAAAGAACUGUAAGAAAACUAAUCGUGGACAGAAAGGGGGAGAUGAGGCAGAUAGCAAUGGACUUGAAGCAGAAGUUUGAAAUGAGCAUAAGCGAUGCGAUGGUGGUUUUUCUUCUAAUUCCUUGAAUGGAUUAGUAGAGUUCAUAAUGUCUUGUUGUUGAUUGCCUACAUUGAUUAGUUUAUGUUAGUUUCCUCACAAGCUUUUUCAAUAAGUAGCUAAGUUUGUUCGAAAGUGCAUUUUGGUGAUAAUGCUAGUGUGGAUUUUAGAGAUGAGGGAUUUGAAUCACUGGCCAAAUUGUACAUUUUCAAAGUUAAAAGUUGUGGUUUGAGUCUUCUGCGCUGGUUUUGGACAGGCUCAAUCAUCAUUUUGUCUUACGCUUUGUUAGUUUUGAUCAGUUCACUAGCUCACUUUUAUUGUUUUAUUCAUUGUUCUUCGUUCACUGGCUCACUUUUAUUGUUUUGUUCUUUGUUCUUAACCCUUAGCAAAAUCUUCCUUGCACAUUAAAUAAUUAAUAGGUUGAAAAAAACAUAGUACAUUCGUUUCCUUCCUCAACUCCGACAUGGGUAAUAAAGAUAAUCUCGGAAGACUAAUGCUCAUAAAAAAAUUGCUCAAAGGAAAUAAAUUGACUAGUUGCAAAGAAAAUCCGAAGAAAAAAAAUCAUCAGGGCAGUUUCUGGUCUCAGUGUAGUGAAGAAGCAGCUCGAAGCCUUGAAUGUCAACACUUGGGAAGAUCGGCUGGUGGAGGAAGCAGCUUCUGAUUGGGAAGCUUUCCAUCCAGGACAACCCAAGCCAUCUUCAAGCCCCAGCUUGUGUGCACUUCUAGAUGGCAAUGCAUGAACCAUACACCUGAUGAUGCCAUCAUCCACAAAUGAUACAACUCAGCAAAACAUGGUACUACGUACAUACAUAAAUCUAAUUAUCUAAGCCAGGAUAUUACUCAGCACAUUAUAUACUUAUAAUUAAUUACCAACCUGGGUUGUCGGCUAGAAAACGUAUAGCAACCCAGCCUCCAGAGGGCACUCCCACGGUAUUCCUUUCAACGGGGUCAACAAGAUUGAAAUUUGCCGGAUCCUUUUUUGGAUCAAAGUUCCCAAAUCCUUCACCAACAACAAAGAAAUUGAAACCAUGCAAAUGAAGAGGGUGGCUCUCAGCACCAAGUAUGCUGGUGUCCUGCAUAAUGAGCUCCACGCUGGUGUUAAAAGGAAGCACAACUAGCUUUGUUCCAUUGCUCACCAUAGUAUUGUUUGGUGGGGUGCCGGUAUAAUUAAAAGGGAUUAGUGGAUUGAUUGGAAAGUUAGGGCUGUAAACGCCCUUUGAUUGACCAAAAUGAUGGGCUUGGAGUAGAGCUUUGGUUGGCAUCACAAAUGAUACAUUAUUAACUGAAGCUGCAAACAUUGUUCCAUUUGGUCCCUGGCAGGUUUUGUUUUUGGAGCAUGGGUUUGUUCCAAGGCUUACACUGAAGAAAAAUUGCCUGUCUACCUUUUGCGGCACAUUGGCAGGGAAUUCUGCACUUGCUAGGCUGCGGAGUUUGCUUGUGAAAUUUGUAGCAAAUGAAGUGUCAUUUAGAGGUGGUAGAUUUGGUUUAUAGAACGGCAGUUUCUUAGGGGAGUGGCUUGAUUUAAUGGUUUUGUUUGAUUCUUCAUAUUCUAAGAUUCCAGCAACAGUUGAAUUAUCAAAAGUUCCUUGACCAGUCACGUAAGGUCUAGCAGACAUGAAAAAACUGGCGUUUGGGUGGUGGGGCUUGGUCUUUAGAAGAACAUUUGUGGUUUGUCCAGGAGCAAUGAGAAGUGUCUCGGUAUCAAAUGGUUUCACAUAAAUAGCAUCAACAUCAACAACUGUGAGUGUAUGGUUUGCUAUGCUGAAGAAGAGCUCGUCAUUGAGUGCGGCGUUGAUCAUGCGAAGAAGGUAAGUCUUUCCUGGCUUUACCUUCAGCUUGAAAGUAUCUGCCAAGCACCAUGCACAUAAGGUGAAUCAGAGGGAAAAAAAAAUGCUCUGCAUGGUUGUAGAAGGCCUACUGCGCUAACAUAUUAUACCUUUGGCAGAGCAGUUAUACAACGGCCCUGGAAAUCCAUUGAUAGUGUAGGCAUCAGAGACAUUUGGGCCUCCACCCGUUUGCAUUGCCUGGUUAAUGAUUGCCUCUGGAUCUGCAUUGAACCACUCUCCUGCAAUUUAUUUUGCAUUAUCGUUUGUGUUAGCAGACAUAGGACUCCAUCAACAGGGGAAAAAAAUUGAUGCAAGUUUUAACGAGCUCUUAUUCAAAGUAGCUUAAUUAAUUCCUUAUAGUAGAUUACCGAAGAUGAUUGGAACUUCCUUGUGAGGUUUAGCAAAUGGAUAAGUAGUGCCGAGUUUGGGAAGAAUGAUAAGUGGACCGUAGAGAGUUGAUCUUAGCCAUGAUAUAUGAGCAUGCCACCAAAGAGUGCCUCUUUGUCCUACGAUGGUGUAGUUGUACACAUAGCUCUGUCCAGUU